This 466-nucleotide ribosomal RNA is filed under the name Ameerega hahneli. RNAcentral's name for it is "partial 12S ribosomal RNA". It matches the Rfam family "Bacterial small subunit ribosomal RNA", at positions 789 to 1500 of the family's 1533-position model. Lineage: Eukaryota; Metazoa; Chordata; Amphibia; Anura; Dendrobatidae. The record is from RNAcentral.
ACUAUGCCUAGUAGUAAACUUUAACUUACCCUUACAUCGCCCGGGAACUACGAGCCAAGCUUAAAACCCAAAGGACUUGACGGUACCCCAUAUCCCCCUAGAGGAGCCUGUCCUAUAAUCGAUAAUCCCCGUUUAACCUCACCAUUUUUUGCUAAUCAGCCUGUAUACCUCCGUCGUCAGCUUACCACGUGAGCGUCAGUGAGCCUAAUGUUUUUCCAACUAUACGUCAGGUCAAGGUGCAACAUAUAAAAUGGAAAGAGAUGGGCUACACUUUCUAUCAUAGAAUAAACGAAAGACUAAAUGAAACCUGGUCAGAAGGCGGAUUUAGUAGUAAAAUGAAACUAGAGCGUUCACUUAAAUACGGCACUGGGGUGUGUACACACCGCCCGUCACCCUCCUCAACUCUGCAUAAAAGUUUUUAACGCCUUUUCAGAGACUCAGAAGAGGCAAGUCGUAACACGGUAAG